UUAACUGGGGUCUGGAAUGAAUGGCAUUACGGAAUUAAGCUGUCUCUAAUUUCAUAAGUGAAACUUACUAAAUAGGUGAAAAGGCCUAUAGAUGCUAAUAGACGAGAAGACCCUUAGAGUUUAAGUUAAUAUUUUGUUGGGGCGACAUUGGAUCAGCUAAACAUCCAUGGACUUAUAAGACGAUUUAGAUCUUAUUAGACAAACUACCUAAGGGAUAACAGCAUAAUUCUUUAGAGUUUGUGACCUCGAUGUUGGACUGGGAAGCGCUAAAGCUAGCUGCU
Molecule: ribosomal RNA, 281 nt
Filed under: Diniatys dentifer
Lineage: Eukaryota; Metazoa; Mollusca; Gastropoda; Cephalaspidea; Haminoeidae
Description: partial 16S ribosomal RNA
Source: RNAcentral